GCCGAGGUAGCUCAGCCUGGGAGAGCACCGCGCUGAAGACGCGGCUGUCGCGCGUUCAAAUCUCGCCCUCGGCA
This 74-nucleotide transfer RNA is filed under the name Candidatus Nitrosopelagicus sp. RNAcentral's name for it is "tRNA-Phe". It matches the Rfam family "tRNA". From Rfam's summary of the family: Transfer RNA (tRNA) molecules are approximately 80 nucleotides in length. Their secondary structure includes four short double-helical elements and three loops (D, anti-codon, and T loops). Lineage: Archaea; Thermoproteati; Nitrososphaerota. RNAcentral also lists the same sequence under 3 other names. The record is from RNAcentral.